RNAcentral lists this ribosomal RNA (507 nucleotides) under Triatoma infestans. RNAcentral's name for it is "partial 16S ribosomal RNA". It matches the Rfam family "Bacterial large subunit ribosomal RNA", at positions 1829 to 2597 of the family's 2925-position model. Lineage: Eukaryota; Metazoa; Arthropoda; Insecta; Hemiptera; Reduviidae. The record is from RNAcentral.
GUCCUUUUGUUUAUUUAUUUAAGGUCUGACCUGCCCAAUGAGGAAUUGAAUGGCCGCAGUAUUUUAACUGUGCUAAGGUAGCAUAAUCAUUUGUCUUUUAAUUGAGGGCUGGAAUGAAGGGUUGGACGAGGUAUUAACUUUCUUUGAUUUAAUGAGGAGAAUUUAAUUUUUGAGUUAAAAAGCUUAAAUUUAUUUGUGGGACGAGAAGACCCUAUAGAUCUUUAUAGUUUUAUAUUUUAAUAAUUUGGUGAUUUAUUUGUUUUAAGUAGAUGAACUAUUUUGUUGGGGUGACUGUAGAAUUUAARUAACUUCUAUUAUUUUAUUUCAUUAAUUAAUGUUUUUGUGAUCCAUAUUUUAUGAUUAUAAGAUUAAGUUACCUUAGGGAUAACAGCGUAAUUUCCUCGGAGAGUUCAUAUUGAUGGGGGAGUUUGCGACCUCGAUGUUGGAUUAAAAUAAGUUAUGGAUGCAGGAGUCUAUUUACUAGGUCUGUUCGACCUUUAAAUUUUU